Molecule: long non-coding RNA, 335 nt
Filed under: Phasianus colchicus (ring-necked pheasant)
Lineage: Eukaryota; Metazoa; Chordata; Aves; Galliformes; Phasianidae
Description: lncRNA (ENSPCLG00000018955.1)
Source: RNAcentral
ACACAAAUAAUUGGAAACAAUAGGACAGCUACCCAGUGUAGAAACAAUUCAGUGAAGACAUCUGACAACUCAACUUUCAGGUUGCACUGUUUUUUAUAUACAGGCAAGGCAAGAAAUCUAUUCAGACUGGAAAAGGCAGAUGGAAUUUCAUGUACUGGGUUUGCAGGAGAUGAUUCUGAAGACUGACUGAGAAGCUAAUUCACUGCUGGUUUGAAAAUAAGUUUGAACUUGCUAAGGUUUUGCCUUACAGAGCCUUCUUUUAGCUUUGUUGACUGAGGACAACGGGAGAGCAAUGCAGGUAAUCAAAUCACUUUGCAUUUUGCCUAUAACACCAU